GGUAGGGUAGCGUAGUGAUUUGAGUGUUGGACUAUGACUCUAGAGACCAGGGUUUGAUUCCCAGCUCUGCCA
This 72-nucleotide transfer RNA is filed under the name Phrynosoma platyrhinos (Desert horned lizard). RNAcentral's name for it is "tRNA-OTHER". It matches the Rfam family "tRNA". Rfam says of the family: Transfer RNA (tRNA) molecules are approximately 80 nucleotides in length. Their secondary structure includes four short double-helical elements and three loops (D, anti-codon, and T loops). Lineage: Eukaryota; Metazoa; Chordata; Lepidosauria; Squamata; Phrynosomatidae. The record is from RNAcentral.